Molecule: ribosomal RNA, 486 nt
Filed under: uncultured bacterium
Lineage: Bacteria
Description: bacterial SSU rRNA
Rfam family: Bacterial small subunit ribosomal RNA
Source: RNAcentral
CAGGCCUAACACAUGCAAGUCGAGCGGAUGACGGGAGCUUGCUCCUUGAUUCAGCGGCGGACGGGUGAGUAAUGCCUAGGAAUCUGCCUGGUAGUGGGGGACAACGUUUCGAAAGGAACGCUAAUACCGCAUACGUCCUACGGGAGAAAGCAGGGGACCUUCGGGCCUUGCGCUAUCAGAUGAGCCUAGGUCGGAUUAGCUAGUUGGUGAGGUAAUGGCUCACCAAGGCGACGAUCCGUAACUGGUCUGAGAGGAUGAUCAGUCACACUGGAACUGAGACACGGUCCAGACUCCUACGGGAGGCAGCAGUGGGGAAUAUUGGACAAUGGGCGAAAGCCUGAUCCAGCCAUGCCGCGUGUGUGAAGAAGGUCUUCGGAUUGUAAAGCACUUUAAGUUGGGAGGAAGGGCAGUAAGCUAAUACCUUGCUGUUUUGACGUUACCGACAGAAUAAGCACCGGCUAACUAUGUGCCAGCAGCCGCGGUAAU